Molecule: non-coding RNA, 94 nt
Filed under: Oenococcus oeni
Lineage: Bacteria; Bacillati; Bacillota; Bacilli; Lactobacillales; Lactobacillaceae
Also listed under: 1 other name
Description: TPP sequence
Rfam family: TPP riboswitch aptamer (THI element)
About the family: Vitamin B(1) in its active form thiamin pyrophosphate (TPP) is an essential coenzyme that is synthesised by coupling of pyrimidine and thiazole moieties in bacteria. The previously detected thiamin-regulatory element, thi box was extended, resulting in a new, highly conserved RNA secondary structure, the THI element, which is widely distributed in eubacteria and also occurs in some archaea.
Source: RNAcentral
UACUUCUAUCUGGGGUGCCUUUACUUUUAAGGCUGAGAUUUACCCAUCGAACCUGUAGGUUAAUACCUGCGUAGGGAGAUAGCGAAAAGAGUCG